Molecule: ribosomal RNA, 253 nt
Filed under: uncultured bacterium
Lineage: Bacteria
Description: partial 16S ribosomal RNA
Rfam family: Bacterial small subunit ribosomal RNA
Source: RNAcentral
UACGGGGGGGGCAAGCGUUGUUCGGAAUUACUGGGCGUAAAGGGCUUGUAGGUGGCCAACUAAGUCAGACGUGAAAUCCCUCGGCUUAACCGGGGAACUGCGUCUGAUACUGGAUGGCUGGAGUGUGGGAGAGGGAUGCGGAAUUCCAGGUGUAGCGGUGAAAUGCGUAGAUAUCAGGAGGAAUACCCAUAGCGAAGGCAGCUCGCUGGGACGUUACUGACGCUGAGGCGCGAAAGCGUGGGGAGCGAACAGG